Molecule: transfer RNA, 46 nt
Filed under: Oceanibaculum pacificum
Lineage: Bacteria; Pseudomonadati; Pseudomonadota; Alphaproteobacteria; Rhodospirillales; Oceanibaculaceae
Also listed under: 2 other names
Description: Rhodospirillaceae bacterium MC2UP-L3 tRNA
Rfam family: tRNA
About the family: Transfer RNA (tRNA) molecules are approximately 80 nucleotides in length.
Source: Rfam by way of RNAcentral
CAGGCUCAUAACCUGAAGGUCACAGGUUCAAAUCCUGUCCCCGCAA